UUUGCUUUGAAUAAUUUAGUAUAUAAUUUAUUUAGUAAUUGUAUGUACAUUUGCUUUAUAUUUACAGGAAGGAGAAAGAUGUUCACUAUGAAUCAAAAAUUCAAUACAUAGGACUUUUAUAUAUCAACAAAAAACACUUGUACAUGUACAUGUGUAUGUGUGAUAUACAUACAACAAGAAAACAGUAAUCAAAUGGAAUGUCAACGACCAGUGUCCAGUAAUGUUGAAAGCAAAAUGAUUUUGAUAGAAAACAAUAGGACUAGAAUAUAUUAAGGGUAAGUAAUCCAAAAGUGUCUGUUUAGGGUAAAAACAGUCAGUUAUUUACAGUGUGCUAUGAUUUCAAUCCCACAAAUAUGAAACAAAAACAUAAUAUACAUGGUAUGCAGACUGUUUUCAUAAGGGAAUAGACUGAAAAUAUCUACAUUUAACAGUCAGACAUAAUUAUAUACUAAAUUAUUCUUUUUUAUAUAUAUUGCCAAUGGAAUAAAUUGAGGAUGGAAAUUAUAAUUAAUGAGAUAUAGGUAAAAGAAUCAUACACAGACUUUAAGGCCGAAUGGUAUUCUUUUAAUAGUUUAAAGAUUUUAUUCUGUUAUCUAUGCUGUAUAAAUGUCAAGAUAGUUAGGGCCCCGCCAAAGGCGGGUCGCCCUAUAGUGAUCAGUCUGUCCGUCCGUCCGUCCGUCCGUCCGUCCGUAACACUUUGUAAUAACUUUGUGUCCGCUCCAUAUCUAGAGAACCAUUAUGAUUUCAUACUUUAUACUUUACAUGUUUAUUAACCACCACCAGAGGGCGUGUCAUGAUGUAUGUACAACUUCCUAGGUCAAAGGUCAAGGUAAAAAAACUUUGGUUUCAGUUGACAACCCUGUGUCCUGUGGUGAAGAUCGUGUCCGCUCUAUAUCUUGAGAACCGUUAUGAUUUCAAAGUUUAUACUUGACAUGUAUAUGAACCAACACCAGAGGGUGUGUCAUAAUUUAUGAACGACUGCCUAGGGCAAAGUUCAAGGUCAAAAACUUUGGUUUCAGUUGACAACCCCAUGUCCUAUGGUAAAGAUUGUGUCCGCUCUAUAUCUUGAGAACCAUUAUCAUUUUAAAGUUUAUACCUGAAAUGUAUAUAAACCAACACCAAAGGGUGUGUCAUAAUUUAUGUGCAACUUCCUAGGUCAAAGGUCAAGGUCAAAAACUUUGGUUUCAGUUGACAACCCCGUGUCCUAUGGUAAAGAUCGUGUCCGCUCUAUAUCUUGAGAACCGUUAUCAUUUCAAAGUUUAUACUUGACAUGUUUUAAACCAACACCAAAGGGUGUGUCAUAAUUUAUUUACAACUUCCUAGGUCAAAGGUCAAGGUCAAAAACUUUGAUUUCAGAUGACAAACCCAUGUCCUAUGGUAAAGAUACAAUUUUUUAAUGCACAUUAUUCACAGCGGGGCCCACAGAGAUGGCUCCCAUCUCAAUGAUAUCUAGUUACAUUUGAUUAAAAAGGAAAGAUUUGGGUAUAAUGUCACAGUCAUUCUGAAAUAAUGAACGUAAUUAGGGUAAUUAUACCCUACUCAACAAACUUGCAAGGUUUUAAUAAAUCUGACCAUUUUUAUACGACCGCAAAAAUUGAAAAUUUUUUGGUCGUAUAUUGGUAUCACGUUGGCAUCGUCGUCCCGAAUACUUUUAGUUUUCGCACUCUAACUUUAGUAAAAGUGAAUAGAAAUCUAUGAAAUUUUAACACAAGGUUUAUGACCACAAAAGGAAGGUUGGGAUUGAUUUUGGAAGUUUUGGUCCCAACAUUUUAGGAAUUAGGGGCCAAAAAGGGCCCAAAUAAGCAUUUUCUUGGUUUUCGCACUAUAACUUUAGUUUAAGUAAAUAGAAAUCUAUGAAAUUUUGACACAAGGUUUAUGACCACAAAAGGAAGGUUGGGAUUGAUUUUGGAGUUUUGGUUCCAACAGUUUAGGAAUUAGGGCCAAAAAAGGGCCCAAAUAAGCAUUAUUCUUGGUUUUCGCACAAUAACUUUAGUAUAAGUAAAUAGAAAUCAAUGAAAUUUAAACACAAGGUUUAUGACCACAAAAGGAAGGUUGGGAUUGAUUUUGGGGAGUUGAGGUCCAACAGUUUAGGAAUUAGGGGCCAAAAAGGGCCCAAAUAAGCAUUUUUCUUGGUUUUCGCACCAUAACUUUAGUAUAAGUAAGUCAAUAGAAAUCUAUGAAAUUUAAACACAAGGUUUAUGACCAUAAAAGGAAGGUUGGGAUUGAUUUUGGGAGUUUUGGUCCAAACAGUUUAGGAAUAAGGGGCCCAAAGGGUCCAAAAUUAAACUUUGUUUGAUUUCAUCAAAAAUUGAAUAAUUGGGGUUCUUUGAUAUGCCGAAUCUAACUGUGUAUGUAGAUUCUUAAAUUUUUGGUCCCUGUUUUCAAAUUGGUCUACAUUAAGGUCCAAAGGGUCCAAAAUUAAACUUAGUUUGAUUUUAACAAAAAUUGAAUCCUUGGACAAGUUGGGGUUCUUUGAUAUGCUGAAUCUAAAAAAAUGUACUUAGAUUUUUGAUUAUUGGCCCAGUUUUCAAGUUGGUCCAAAUCGGGGUCCAAAAUUAAACUUUGUUUGAUUUCAUCAAAAAUUGAAUAAUUGGGGUUCUUUGAUAUGCCAAAUCUAACUGUGUAUGUAGAUUCUUAAUUUUUGGUCCCGUUUUCAAAUUGGUCUACAUUAAAGUCCAAAGGGUCCAAAAUUAAACUAAGUUUGAUUUUAACAAAAAUUGAAUUCUUGGGCUUCUUUGAUAUGCUGAAUCUAAACAUGUACUUAGAUUUUUAUUAUGGGCCCAGUUUUCAAGUUGGUCCAAAUCAGGAUCCAAAAUUAUUAUAUUAAGUAUUGUGCAAUAGCAAGAAAUUUUCAAUUGCACAGUAUUGCGCAAUAGCAAGAAAUCUUCAAUUGCACAGUAUUGUGCAAUAGCAAAUAUUUUCAAUUGCACAGUAUUGCACAAUAGCAAGAAAUAUCUAAUUGCACAAUAUUGUGCAAUAGCAUGAAAUUUUUAAUUGGAGUCUUAUCUUUCUUUUUUCAGAAUAGUAGUUGAAUCAACUUAAAUCAUUGUUUUAUACAAUAUACAAUGUAUAUUCACUUUUACUACCAACUGAUAAAUUAAAACAAUCUUUACCAUUCAGUGAUUACAACAAGCACUUUCUUUACAUUUUAAUAUUUUAUGAUGUAUUUAAAUGAGUAGUUAUUGUUGCAAACUCCAUUAGAAAUUUGAAUUGAGAUCAGUUUUGGAAUAAGGGAAAGGGGGAUGUGAAAAAAAAAUUGGGGAGGGGGGGUAAAUUUUUUUCAUUUCAGAUUUCAUAAAUAAAAAGAAAAUUUCUUCAAACAUUUUUUUGAGAGGAUUAAUAUUCAACAGCAUAGUGAAUUGCUCAAAGGCAAAAAAAAAUUUUAAGUUCAUUAGACCACAUUCAUUCUGUGUCAGAAACCUAUGCUGUGUCAACUAUUUAAUCACAAUCCAAAUUUAGAGCUGAAUCCAGCUUGAAUGUUGUGUCCAUACUUGCCCCAACCGUUCAGGGUUCAACCUCUGCGGUCGUAUAAAGCUGCGCCCUGCGAAGCAUCUGUUUUUUUUAGAUAAGAGAAUGACUUGAGCAGACUGUAUUGAGGUCAUAGAUGGCAAUAACAAUGAAAUACAAUAUAUUAUAAUUAUCAUUGAUUCUUCAUUACUUUUUGAUUGAAUUAACAAACUUAAUUUAAUAACAAAAAAUUUCAUUUUCAGUAGACAACACAUCCUGUCAGAGGAAUAAUUUUACUGGAGGAUAAAAAUUUUGAUACCUGGAAUCAGCAAUUUAUAUGAAAUUUGUUAUGAGAGAUAUAUUCAUGUACAGAAUGGUAUCCGAGGUGGUUCAAGUGAUUAUAAGCGGACUUUUUUGUUGAACUAAUGCAGGAUUUAAUAAAAUGAAAGACUAUGGGCUCCAAAGUUUAGUAACAAGAGGAUUUUUUAAAUAUGUGAGACUCAUCAACAUUAAAAAGUGCAGAAGUGAAAUGUCACCAUAUUUAUUAAAAAAAAUCAGAUUAUUGACUCAGUUGUUUUCAUGAAUAUUUUGUUUUAAGCAAUUUCACUGUUAUAUACUUAAUAAGAUUCCACGUUUAUUUUAUACUUCUGACAACCGAAUAUUAUAUCUUCCCUCUGGCCUCAAGUGUUUCCCUUUUAUUUUGCAUGAGUGUAAUUUAAAAAAGCUCGCUUUUAGUUUUGGGCAAAUUCAAGUUUUGCCAUUCCAGAAUUAUUCGACUUUUUUCCUGGUAAAUUAGACAUGUACCCACAUGUUGUAUUUUGCUUUGGUACUUUUUCAAGAAAUUGUGGAUCAAGGCUGAAUUUUAUCAAAUAAGAUCAUUUUUGGAUAUUUAUCACAUAUCACAUACUUGAAUAAUCUUUAAAAUUGAGAAUAUAGAUGGGCAAUGUGUCAAAGAG
Molecule: long non-coding RNA, 4403 nt
Filed under: Mytilus galloprovincialis (Mediterranean mussel)
Lineage: Eukaryota; Metazoa; Mollusca; Bivalvia; Mytilida; Mytilidae
Source: RNAcentral